GGAAAAGCGGAUUUGCUAAGGCUGAGCUGGAAUUUUUGGCGGCGACGGCAGAGAUCCUCAAGGAAAUGAGCAGCGAGGUUUCUUGCCAGCCCUACUGAUGUCCUAGGCUGAACUUGUUCCUCACUCACUUCACGCCAAAGACAGCUUGAAUCAGCCAAGGAUAAUUUUGAGUCUGACCAACUCCACCCUCCCAAUAAAGGAGAAAAGGUUGACUUCACUAGUCUUCUGCUCAGACCUUCACAAUUAGGUUUGGUUUCCAUCUCAUAGCAUCCCGAGGUGGAGAUUUAUUUGGGAACCUAAAAGGCUUCAGCACCUGUGAGUAAGAGCCUGUGGGACCCCGUGGCGGUGCUGUAUGGCGUGAUGUGAUUGUGCAGCGUCCAGCUUGGUCAUGGGUAGACUUUGGCUUCAUCAGCUGCUUGGGCACACAACGCGGUACAGUGUUCCAUGCAUAGCUUGGAGAGUUGUAUGGGAUCGUUGUUCAAAGUGAACUUGACAUGGGAUGUAAAACUGAAAUCAGUUCUGAUGUUUUAAGUGGAAUACAAAAAUAUCACAUAGUAUUUCUUGAAAACCUUAGAGAAAACAUGAUAAUGCAUUGAGAAACUCUCUAGAAGAAGCAACACCUCCAUCUUGCAGUGUGCAAAUGCUUCUAUGAAGCUUUACAGACUGUCUGGACUGACUUCUAUUACCAUGAAAACAGCAGGACCUGUUUGUAAACAGGGGUGAAUGAGCAGGAGUAGAACACCACAACAGGCAAGGGAGUGAAAGGACAAACUUCUUAGGAGUAAGAAAGAAGUGGAAAGCUGAAAGACAAGAAUAUCCGCCGGUUAGGACAUUAAAGUGUCCUUUGAGUUUGGAUAGCUUAUUGGAAAAAAAACCUUAAUGGAAAACACAGAAUCAGAGAACAGGGUGUAAUGAAAAUGCUUUCAGUCUCUCACAACAGUGUCUUGAGCAUCUCUGCAAGUGUUUGGGAAAUGAAGUGGGAUGAGAAGAAAGCUCAUGAAUUUUGUUAAUCUUCGGUGUCUCUGUUCACUGUCAUUUGCUUUGUUUGAGAAUUCAGAGGAAAGGAAUCAGUUUCUUGUGAAACAGAAUAGAGAAAGUGGUUUUGUUUCCUGGCAAAAAUAUGACUAAUACAUUCUGUGUAUAAAUGUCUCUAUAGCCUGAGAGCUGAGUGAGGUCAGAAGACACUUAGACAGCAAUAUGCCUCUGACCCCAGUACUUAUAAUGGCACAGUGUUUUAUGUACAGCUUUUUUACAUUAUGGGUUUCAUCCACUAAACUAAACCUUAAUUUAAACUUGCUCAUCUAACACUGUUGCUUGCAGUUUCAAAGUCUUGAUUGGAGAUAAGGUGAAAUUUUCCUAGCUUUAAAAUAAAAGUUUAGCAAAAAAGGAAGCGGGGAGGGGGAAAAAAAAAGUUAAGGAGAAAAUCAAUGAUAAUGGAGUGCAGGUGGAGCUCAUUUGGGGUAAUGAGGUUCUGAAUGGAUGUUUUGCAAACAGAACACUUUUUGUGACCUAACAGCUCAGCCAAUUCACAUGCUGUUUGUAAAUGGUUUGUUUUGUUCCUUCUGAACUCAAGUGGAAAUGGAGAUUUCUUCUGGUGUCUUGGUGCUUCGGAGAGGGAGGUACGAAUUAGCAAGCUGCCAUUUAAACAUUCUCCCUUAUUAUGCUUGAGCUGCUCUGGUUUCCUGCUUGCCUUCUCAGUCAGAGGGACUGAAACCACACUGACAAACAAAUGAGUUUGGGAACUGGGAUUUUGGAAUUAUUUUGGCCACAGAGAUGAUAAACGCUCACUCAGUUCUCUCAUGGGCGCGGUGGCUACCGGGGCUGCUCACGGGGCUCUGUAACACAGUGUUCAGGGAGCUCGAGUUCAGAGUUCAGCUUGUACAAAGGAUUACUUAAGUCUGUGGUUGGCAUCCUAUGUGAGAAAAUGCGUUGCGAGGAGAGAAACAAAGAUGUUGUGACAGCUCCUGUGUAUAGAAAUUGAAUAUUAAAUCAUACAGGCUGUGUGGGGCACAAAUACAGGGCUUCUGGCAGGGCUUCUGAGUUCAGCAUAACCUGUCAACUCAGUUUUGGGCUCGUAAAUAUACAGUGGACCUCUGGCCCCUGGCACUACUUGGUUUAAUAAGGCCCGUUAUUCGCUAUAAAACAUCUAUAUUCUGUAUUACUGGAUAUGGAAUACAUUCCCAAACAUCUUCAGGCACUUGAUUUCUGAGUCAUUAGCUGGAGUGACUCAUCGUAUUUUCCCUGAAUGAAAAAAGGGGGGGAAAAAAAGAGGGAGAAAGAGAGUAUAAAAUGCAGAAACAGCAUUUGCAACUUUUUCUUGCUGUUCUAAGGAAGCAACCAUACUGCAAAGCAUCCCUUUGCCACGGUCCUCAAUAAGAUAUGAUUAUCCCUUGUGUAAGGAGAAGUGGAGAUGAAGACCAGAACUACAUGAUGCAAAUUGUAUAGCACAAAUAAGAAUUCCCAUCUACAAAAGAGAGCAGUAGCAAGACCUGAGGGUGAUUAAGGAUAAUGCAUUAGCCAUCUGCACAAUGUCUGGUAGCAUCAGGAAGGUAAACAAAGACUUAGCAUGUAUUAUGUCUCUGAAAGCGAGAUGUAUAAAUCAGAGGUUAAAUAUGCACAAGGAAAGCAAUAGAAGAGCCUCAUGUGGAAUACUCAGAGCUUUUCUUUUUGAGAUAUUACAUGAAGACUAUACGAAACUGGAAAAGAUUAAAAAUCUGUGACAGAAGGUACCUAGACUAACCCUAGAAACAAAGGAAAUGCUUCGUAAGGAAUGAGAAACCAGACCCUGUCAGCACGCGCAAAGGAAACUGAGACCUCGGAGAAAAAUCUAAGCUUUAAAAUACCCUAAAAGAGAAAGACAGAUGCCAGUGCAAGGCAUUUAAAUACACUAACAGCUAAUUGAAAAACAAACAUGUAAGGGUCUAAAUGAAGGCAGAGAUUAGUAGCCUAGAGUAAUUUGACAGGACUGAGAUGUGCACAAGUAGCUGUUGCAUGCUAUAAAAUAAAAAAGACUGCAUCAGCUCAAAGGAGUACUUUACUAACUCACCAGAGCCAGGUCGUGCCGAGAAAGGACUUUAGGAAAGUAAAGAAAUUUGUCUUAUAGAUAACCUAUCCAUGCUAAUGGGUUCAAAAAGCAAUUGGUCUUCUCUGGCAUGGGUCUGGUUUAGCUUUGAUGAGUAUGCAUGUGGCAUAAUCUGCAGUUCAACAGUAAAAUCCACCCCUAACAAAAAUUUCAGGAUCUGUCUUACAAGGUACUCUUGCAGUAGAACUUAAUGAAAGGCAUAAUGAUGGUGGGGGAAGAACAGUUGAGCUUUAAAUGAUGGGUUACAAAAAGAAACUUCUCCUGGAACCUCUAUGCAAAGACUUAUGGCACAGAGAUAAUCCCGAAGCAAAACAUCUUAAUUUUAUAUAGACUACUUUUCUCUAGUUGCCGCUGCACAUAACAAGACUGUCUUGAGAGAAAAAUCCACUUUAUUUUUUUAGGAGAACUCAGAGCCAUUAGAGAUUUUGAGAGGGAAACUGGUAGAGGUCUGCCCUCCCUUUGAAAAGGAAUUGAUUUCCAAAAGGAGUACUUAGUUUUCUUCUCAGGUCUUACAAUUCCUAAUCCAAGAUCAGUAAGUAGCGGAACAGGGGUUAAGGAAAAGGGAUGGAAUAAAAGCUUCCUGUUCUCAGUAAUAAAAAGCCCUUUGAGAAAAAGCAACGGUAGAUGGCUGCUGUCUUCUGGCAGAGUUUCCCUGCGCAGAGCUGGCUCUCAGCUUUGCAGCAGUCUGGGCAAAUUUUGCAGAGAUGGUAGAGAGGGUUCUGAACAGCAGGAGAGAAACAGAAGGAUUUUCCGCUUUCUUUACAUACCAACCACCCCUCUGAGUCACAGGG
Long non-coding RNA from Cuculus canorus (common cuckoo), 3873 nucleotides. RefSeq lists it as uncharacterized. The record is from RefSeq and is a predicted model, not a curated record. Lineage: Eukaryota; Metazoa; Chordata; Aves; Cuculiformes; Cuculidae. The transcript is spliced from 4 exons.